CGGCAGGCCUAACACAUGCAAGUCGAGCGCGCCUUCGGGUGAGCGGCGGACGGGUUAGUAACGCGUGGGAACGUGCCCUUCUCUACGGAAUAGCCUCUGGAAACGGAGAGUAAUACCGUAUACGCCCUUUGGGGGAAAGAUUUAUCGGAGAAGAGAUCGGCCCGCGUUAGAUUAGGUAGUUGGUGGGGUAAUGGCCUACCAAGCCUACGAUCUAUAGCUGGUUUUAGAGGAUGAUCAGCAACACUGGGACUGAGACACGGCCCAGACUCCUACGGGAGGCAGCAGUGGGGAAUCUUAGACAAUGGGGGCAACCCUGAUCUAGCCAUGCCGCGUGAGUGAUGAAGGCCUUAGGGUCGUAAAGCUCUUUCGCCUGUGAUGAUAAUGACAGUAGCAGGUAAAGAAACCCCGGCUAACUCCGUGCCAGCAGCCGCGGUAAUACGGAGGGGGUUAGCGUUGUUCGGAAUUACUGGGCGUAAAGCGCGCGUAGGCGGAUUAGAAAGUUGGGGGUGAAAUCCCGGGGCUCAACCCCGGAACUGCCUCCAAAACUGCUAGUCUAGAGUUCGAGAGAGGUGAGUGGAAUUCCGAGUGUAGAGGUGAAAUUCGUAGAUAUUCGGAGGAACACCAGUGGCGAAGGCGGCUCACUGGCUCGAUACUGACGCUGAGGUGCGAAAGUGUGGGGAGCAAACAGGAUUAGAUACCCUGGUAGUCCACACCGUAAACG
RNAcentral lists this ribosomal RNA (721 nucleotides) under uncultured Roseobacter sp. Its description in RNAcentral is "bacterial SSU rRNA". It matches the Rfam family "Bacterial small subunit ribosomal RNA", at positions 40 to 808 of the family's 1533-position model. Lineage: Bacteria; Pseudomonadati; Pseudomonadota; Alphaproteobacteria; Rhodobacterales; Roseobacteraceae. The record is from RNAcentral.